UGCGUAGGCGGUCUGAUAAGUCAGUUGUGAAAGCCCGGGGCUCAACCCCGGAAGUGCAAUUGAAACUGUCAGGCUUGAGUAUGGUAGAGGGAAGUGGAAUUCCAGGUGUAGCGGUGAAAUGCGUAGAUAUCUGGAGGAACACCGGUGGCGAAGGCGACUUCCUGGACCAAUACUGACGCUGAGGCGCGAAGGUGUGGGUAGCAAACAGGAUUAGAUACCCUGGUAGUCC
This 229-nucleotide ribosomal RNA is filed under the name uncultured bacterium. Its description in RNAcentral is "partial 16S ribosomal RNA". It matches the Rfam family "Bacterial small subunit ribosomal RNA", at positions 568 to 796 of the family's 1533-position model. The record is from RNAcentral.